Non-coding RNA from Manis javanica (Malayan pangolin), 643 nucleotides. Lineage: Eukaryota; Metazoa; Chordata; Mammalia; Pholidota; Manidae. The record is from RefSeq and is a predicted model, not a curated record.
AGGGGCGUGCCCAUCUGAGCUCCACCCCCCCCACCUCCGCCCUCCCGCGGCAGCUCCUGGAGGCCCCUCUUUCAUUGACGGAAGCCAGGCUGCAGGAAGAGGGACCUGCAUAGCCAGACCUGGGGCCAGUGGACUCAUCCCAUGACCAGGAGAUAAGGGACCAAUUCUGCAAGGAGUCAGAUGGCUGAGACAAAGUCUGAGAGCCCCACUUUGAACAAGUUGUCUGAGAUGGACACAAGCAGAAUAUUCCUGAUGUCCAGGUAAGAAUGGAUAUGAGUUCAAGACCAUCACCGUUUGCCUCCAGCGCCAAGGGCCAGGAAGCUGGGGUGGCCACCAGGAACCGAGAAAGAGCCCAGUUAGAGGCUGGGAGAACGCUCCAGAAGGCAGCUUUCCACAGGAAGAAGCCUGGACGGGGGCCGGGGAGGCAGGGCAGGCAGGGUGGCCCCAGAUGUGGCAAACUUCGCCCAUUAGGACAGAGCGGGAGGCCCACGGUUGGCUGGGGAGUGCGGAUGCUCUCCACCCUGCCCUGGGGAGGAAGGAAUCCGAGCUGGGAGUCUGGCGCCUGCCGGAAAGCGGGGCCAGGGUAUGAACAAGACCGAAAGGGAGAUGGCAGGAAGCCGGGAAGAGCGAGUGGGGGUGGAGA